GAUGAACGCUGGCGGCGUGCCUAAUACAUGCAAGUCGAGCGAAGCGGGGACGGGUGAGUAACACGUGGAUAACCUCCUAUAAGACUGGGAUAAGCUCGGGAAACGGGAGCUAAACCGGAUAGUUGUAGAUGGAUCUGCGCUGCAUUAGCGAGUUGGUAAGGUAACGGCUUACCAAGGCAACGAUGCAUAGCCGACCGGUGAGGGUGAUCGGCCACACUGGAACUGAGACACGGUCCAGACUCCUACGGUAGGCAGCAGGAGGGAAUCUUGCGCAAUGGGCGAAAGCCUGACGGAGCAACGCCGCGUGAGUGAUGAAGGUAUUCGGGUCGUAAAGCUCUGUUAUUAGGGAGGCGGUACCUAAACAAGAAGCCCCGGCUAACUACGUGCCAGCAGCCGCGGUAAUAC
Molecule: ribosomal RNA, 405 nt
Filed under: uncultured bacterium
Lineage: Bacteria
Description: partial 16S ribosomal RNA
Rfam family: Bacterial small subunit ribosomal RNA
Source: RNAcentral